RNAcentral lists this transfer RNA (64 nucleotides) under Cycloneda sanguinea. RNAcentral describes it as "tRNA-Ser". Lineage: Eukaryota; Metazoa; Arthropoda; Insecta; Coleoptera; Coccinellidae. The record is from RNAcentral.
UAAUGAAAUUUGAAUACAAAUUAGAUUCCUAAACUGAUUUAAACCAAUUCAAAUAUCUCAUUUU